This 306-nucleotide long non-coding RNA is filed under the name Prunus persica (peach). Its description in RNAcentral is "long non-coding RNA (PPER_LNC008589)". The record is from RNAcentral. Lineage: Eukaryota; Viridiplantae; Streptophyta; Magnoliopsida; Rosales; Rosaceae.
GCUGUAGUAGCCCCCGACGAGUCAUCAAGCAACAGAGGAAGGCUGCAUGCAAGAGUUAAUAAGUUCACACUAGUGUGGAACCAGCGGACAAGAAGUAAGAGAAGACUAGUCUAACCUUGAACACAAUUUAAGGUAGAUAGACUUAUCCAAUUGCCUUCUUUUGGAAAUGUUGUAGCUCUCGACCUCGACAACAACGUUUGUAAAAGAAUAGAGGUGAAACUUGCAAUAGAAACUUGCAUGCAAAGACAAAUCCGUACAUAACACACAGUACCAGGCAGAGAUGAGCUGUUCGUCCUUAAACUGGGU